This 497-nucleotide ribosomal RNA is filed under the name uncultured bacterium. RNAcentral's name for it is "partial 16S ribosomal RNA". It matches the Rfam family "Bacterial small subunit ribosomal RNA", at positions 28 to 507 of the family's 1533-position model. The record is from RNAcentral.
GAUGAACGCUGGCGGCGUGCCUAAUACAUGCAAGUCGAGCGAACGGACGAGAAGCUUGCUUUUCUGAUGUUAGCGGCGGACGGGUGAGUAACACGUGGAUAACCUACCUAUAAGACUGGGAUAACUUCGGGAAACCGGAGCUAAUACCGGAUAAUAUUUUGAACCACAAGGUUCAAAAGGUAAAGACGGUCUUGUAGUACCUAAUAAAUGGAUCCGCGCUGCAUUAGCUAGUAGGUAAGGUAACGGCUUACCAAGGCAACGAUGCAUAGCCGACCUGAGAGAGUGAUCGGCCACACUGGAACUGAGACACGGUCCAGACUCCUACGGGAGGCAGCAGUAGGGAAUCUUCCGCAAUGGGCGAAAGCCUGACGGAGCAACGCCGCGUGAUUGAUGAAGGUCUUCGGAUCGUAAAACUCUGUUUUUAGGGAAGAACAUAUGUGUAAGUAACUGUGCACAUCUUGACGGUACCUAAUCAGAAAGCCACGGCUAACUACGUG